AGUGAACGCUGGCGGUAGGCCUAACACAUGCAAGUCGAACGGCAGCACAGUAAGAGCUUGCUCUUACGGGCGUCGAGUGGCGGACGGGUGAGGAAUACAUCGGAAUCUACUUUUUCGUGGGGGAUAACGUCGGGAAACUUACGCUAAUACCGCAUACGACCUACGUGUGAAAGCAGGGGAUCUUCGGACCUUUCGCGAUUGAAUAAGCCGAUGUGGGAUUAGCUAGAUGGCGGGGUAGAGGCACACCAAGGCGACGAUCCGUAGCUGGUCUGAGAGGGUGAUCAGACACGCGGGAACUGAGAAACGGGCGAGACGCCGAGGGGAGGACGCAGUGGGGACUAUUGGGCAAUGGGGGAAUGGCUGAUCCAGGCCAACCGGGUGGGUGAUGAAGGACUUAGGGUUGGAAAGCGCUUUUGUUGGGAAAGAAAAGCAGCAGGUUAAUACGCGGCUGUUCUGACGGUACCCAAAGAAUAAGCACCGGCUAACUUCGUG
This 492-nucleotide ribosomal RNA is filed under the name uncultured bacterium. RNAcentral's name for it is "partial 16S ribosomal RNA". It matches the Rfam family "Bacterial small subunit ribosomal RNA", at positions 30 to 507 of the family's 1533-position model. The record is from RNAcentral.